RNAcentral lists this ribosomal RNA (497 nucleotides) under uncultured bacterium. Its description in RNAcentral is "partial 16S ribosomal RNA". It matches the Rfam family "Bacterial small subunit ribosomal RNA", at positions 28 to 507 of the family's 1533-position model. The record is from RNAcentral.
GAUGAACGCUGGCGGCGUGCCUAAUACAUGCCAGUCGAGCGAACAGACGAGGAGCUUGCUCCUCUGACGUUAGCGGCGGACGGGUGAGUAACACGUGGAUAACCUACCUAUAAGACUGGGAUAACUUCGGGAAACCGGAGCUAAUACCGGAUAAUAUAUUGAACCGCAUGGUUCAAUAGUGAAAGACGGUUUUGCUGUCACUUAUUGAUGGAUCCGCGCCGCAUUAGCUAGUUGGUAAGGUAACGGCUUACCAAGGCAACGAUGCGUAGCCGACCUGAGAGGGUGAUCGGCCACACUGGAACUGAGACACGGUCCAGACUCCUACGGGAGGCAGCAGUAGGGAAUCUUCCGCAAUGGGCGAAAGCCUGACGGAGCAACGCCGCGUGAGUGAUGAAGGUCUUCGGAUCGUAAAACUCUGUUAUUAGGGAAGAACAAAUGUGUAAGUAACUAUGCACGUCUUGACGGUACCUAAUCAGAAAGCCACGGCUAACUACGUG